This 303-nucleotide ribosomal RNA is filed under the name uncultured bacterium. Its description in RNAcentral is "partial 16S ribosomal RNA". It matches the Rfam family "Bacterial small subunit ribosomal RNA", at positions 507 to 807 of the family's 1533-position model. The record is from RNAcentral.
AGCAGUCGCCGCGGUAAUAUGAAGGGGGCUAGCGUUGCUCGGACUUACUGGGCGUAAAGGGCGCGUAGGCGGACAGUUUAGUUGGGGGUGAAAGCCCGGGGCUCAACCUCGGAACUGCCUUCAAUACUGGCUGUCUUGAGUACGGGAGAGGUGAGUGGAACUCCGAGUGUAGAGGUGAAAUUCGUAGAUAUUCGGAAGAACACCAGUGGCGAAGGCGACACACUGGCUCAUUACUGACGCUGAGGCGCGAAAGCGUGGGGAGCAAACAGGAUUAGAUACCCGCGUAGUCCCUGUCUCUUAUAC